CCUACGGGCGUGCAGCAGUGAGGAAGAUUGGGCAAUGGCCGUAAGGCUGAACCAGCCAAGUAGCGUGAGGGAAGAGUGCCCGAGGGGUUGGAAACCUCUUUUAGGCGGGGAGAAAGGUGUCCACGUGGGGAUGUUGGCAGGUACCGCAUGAAUAAGGACCGGCGAAUUCCGUGCCAGCAGCCGCGGUAAUACGGAAGGUCCGGGCGUUAUCCGGAUUUAUUGGGUUUAAAGGGAGCGUAGGCCGGUCUUUAAGCGUGCCGUGAAAUUUUGUGGCUCAACCCUGAGAGUGCGGCGCGAACUGGAGACCUUGAGUGCGCGGCAGGCAGGCGGACUUCGUGGUGUAGCGGUGAACUGCUUAGAUUUCACGAAGAACCCCGAUUGCGAAGGCAGCCUGCCGCAGCGUUACUGACGCUGAAGCUCGAAAGCGCGGGUAUCGAACAGGAUUAGAUACCCCGGUAGUC
This 461-nucleotide ribosomal RNA is filed under the name uncultured bacterium. RNAcentral's name for it is "partial 16S ribosomal RNA". It matches the Rfam family "Bacterial small subunit ribosomal RNA", at positions 338 to 795 of the family's 1533-position model. The record is from RNAcentral.